RNAcentral lists this long non-coding RNA (370 nucleotides) under Bos taurus (domestic cattle). RNAcentral's name for it is "long non-coding RNA NONBTAT020205". The record is from RNAcentral. Lineage: Eukaryota; Metazoa; Chordata; Mammalia; Artiodactyla; Bovidae.
AAAACAUAGUACUUAGUUUAUAAUUAAGAGCAAUCUUGAAGUCCAGUGUGAAUUGUACCAAAUCUACCAAACUUAAAGCUUGCUCAGAACUUCACUCUUAAGAAUCAAGUUCACAAUAGAUUGGCUUAAAUGCUAUCUGAGUUCUCUUCCUUCUCUGAAAAUUAAAGACAAGAAUCUUAGUGACAAAAUUGUACAGCUUAGAAUUCCAUAAAUAAGUGUACUAAGACCAACUUUGACUAAUCUCUGGAAGCAGAAAAGUAAGCAAAAGCCACUAUUUAGGAGUCAUGACCUACUUACAUCUUUAACAUCUUUUUAGUUAAACUUUUCUACCUUUAUUAGUCAUUGGUACUUGCCAUAAGUUGAUAAUGUG